RNAcentral lists this transfer RNA (72 nucleotides) under candidate division CSSED10-310 bacterium. Its description in RNAcentral is "tRNA-Val". It matches the Rfam family "tRNA". Rfam says of the family: Transfer RNA (tRNA) molecules are approximately 80 nucleotides in length. Their secondary structure includes four short double-helical elements and three loops (D, anti-codon, and T loops). The record is from RNAcentral. Lineage: Bacteria; candidate division CSSED10-310.
GGGCGACUAGCUCAGCGGGAGAGCACUGUCCUCACACGGCAGGGGUCGCUGGUUCGAAUCCAGUGUCGCCCA